AAGUCGUAACAAGGUUUCCGUAGGUGAACCUGCGGAAGGAUCAUUAUUGAAUAACUUGGUUGUUGAUGCUGGCCUUUGGGCAUGUGCUCGCGACUAUUUUAUAACCCUUAUCUUUUGUGAACCCUUUGUAGUUUGUGGAUUAGUUAGUAGAGUUGGCAACGACUCGAACGCUCUUCUACACUCUAUGUUUAUACAAACCAUAUAAAAAUUAUAAGAAUGUUUCUUGUUAUUGGCGCGAGUCAGUAAUAAACCUAAUACAACUUUCAACAACGGAUCUCUUGGGUCUC
This 287-nucleotide unclassified non-coding RNA is filed under the name air metagenome. RNAcentral's name for it is "partial contains small subunit ribosomal RNA, internal transcribed spacer 1, and 5.8S ribosomal RNA". The stretch from base 1 to 46 matches the Rfam family "Eukaryotic small subunit ribosomal RNA", at positions 1786 to 1831 of the family's 1831-position model. The record is from RNAcentral.